This is a long non-coding RNA of Anopheles stephensi (Asian malaria mosquito), 822 nucleotides long. RefSeq lists it as uncharacterized. The record is from RefSeq and is a predicted model, not a curated record. NCBI's taxonomy places the organism in Eukaryota, Metazoa, Arthropoda, Insecta, Diptera, Culicidae. The transcript is spliced from 3 exons.
AGUUAAGAAGAAAAAAAAAGCAAUGCUACAGUCGUACUAGACACUGGAAUGGCUUGUAUUGGUUGAACUUUUCUUAUUUUUCAGAUUCAAAAAUCUGUUUGCUCUACAAAGUCGAUGAGUGCAUCUAAUCAGUUCUGCAGCGCCAUGGUGAACGUUGGGAGGUGUUGGCACGGAAGACGGAGCGGGAAAAGGAUCACGAUAACUAUGAGGUGAGGAGGAUAUCAACGGAUUGUGCAUUUACAGUUAGCGGGUGAGCCCACGCUGUAUCUCGUAGGAGAACCUGGCCAUGGGUAUCGGAGAAUGCAUAUCAUAUGCCGGAGACGUGCUUGGCCUUAAACACUGACUCUGCUCGAUCACGGAUUCCAAAUUGGUCAUUACGUUACCGGCGGCUUGUCAGCAAUCAGCAUUGGGUGUUCUUUUUCCGUUCAGUUCUUCCUGCCGUCCUUCUGUGUAUAAAGUGCCUUCCAUUAACAUCUCCCGACAACAAGUUGGAGUUGCUUCUAGCACGGAUUAUGAUGGUGCUGUUGCUGAAGAGGAAUGUUUUGUUGCCUGGUUGCACUGGACAAGAUGGUUCACACAGUGUAGUCGAUCUCCUGUUGGUGUCGAUUGUAUACCGUUUCAGAGGUUUGAAGAGGAGUGAGGAGCUUCCUUACUACAAAGUUCUUUAUAUAAGGUGAAAAAGUGUACAAGGGCCAACCAUUUGGUGUUUGUACUCGAUGAUCCCUUCGAGCCGGAGGCCCAUCCCGACCGCUCAGUGCGAUAGUGUUAGGUGCUAGAAAUACAAGAUGUAAAUAUAAAAUGGUUACUUUACAUGUUAAUACA